AUGUUAUCACGGGAGACACACGGCGGGUGCUAACGUCCGUCGUGAAGAGGGAAACAACCCAGACCGCCAGCUAAGGUCCCAAAGUCAUGGUUAAGUGGGAAACGAUGUGGGAAGCCUGUGAGGGUUGCUGGAGGUAUCAGAAGUGCGAAUGCUGACAUAAGUAACGAUAAAGCGGGUGAAAAGCCCGCUCGCCGGAAGACCAAGGGUUCCUGUCCAACGUUAAUCGGGGCAGGGUGAGUCGACCCCUAAGGCGAGGCCGAAAGGCGUAGUCGAUGGGAAACGGGUUAAUAUUCCCGUACUUGGUGUUACUGCGAAGGGGGGACGGAGAAGGCUAUGUUGGCCGGGCGACGGUUGUCCCGGUUUAAGCGUGUAGGUGUGUGUUCCAGGUAAAUCCGGUUCACUUUAACACUGAGGCGUGAYGACGAGGCACUACGGUGCUGAAGCAACAAAUGCCCUGCUUCCAGGAAAAGCCUCUAAGCAUCAGGUAACAUCAAAUCGUACCCCAAACCGACACAGGUGGUCAGGUAGAGAAUACCAAGGCGCUUGAGAGAACUCGGGUGAAGGAACUAGGCAAAAUGGUGCCGUAACUUCGGGAGAAGGCACGCUGACACGUAGGUGAAGUGAUUUACUCAYGGAGCUGAAGUCAGUCGAAGAUACCAGCUGGCUGCAACUGUUUAUUAAAAACACAGCACUGUGCAAACACGAAAGUGGACGUAUACGGUGUGACGCCUGCCCGGUGCCGGAAGGUUAAUUGAUGGGGUCAGCGCAAGCGAAGCUCCUGAUCGAAGCCCCGGUAAACGGCGGCCGUAACUAUAACGGUCCUAAGGUAGCGAAAUUCCUUGUCGGGUAAGUUCCGACCUGCACGAAUGGCGUAAUGAUGGCCAGGCUGUCUCCACCCGAGACUCAGUGAAAUUGAACUCGCUGUGAAGAUGCAGUGUACCCGCGGCAAGACGGAAAGACCCCGUGAACCUUUACUAUAGCUUGACACUGAACAUUGAGCCUUGAUGUGUAGGAUAGGUGGGAGGCUUUGAAGUGUGGACGCCAGUCUGCAUGGAGCCGACCUUGAAAUACCACCCUUUAAUGUUUGAUGUUCUAACGUGGACCCGUGACCCGU
This 1114-nucleotide ribosomal RNA is filed under the name Salmonella enterica. RNAcentral's name for it is "partial 23S ribosomal RNA". The record is from RNAcentral. Lineage: Bacteria; Pseudomonadati; Pseudomonadota; Gammaproteobacteria; Enterobacterales; Enterobacteriaceae.